GACGUAGGGUCCAAGCGUUGUCCGGAUUUACUGGGCGUAAAGAGCGCGCAGGCGGUCGGAUAAGUCGAAUGUGAAAGCCCCUGGCUCAACCAGGGAGGGUCAUUCGAUACUGUUCGACUCGAAGGCAGGAGAGGGAAGUGGAAUUCCGGGUGUAGUGGUGAAAUGCGUAGAUAUCCGGAGGAACACCAGUGGCGAAGGCGACUUUCUGGCCUGUUCUUGACGCUGAGGCGCGAAAGCUAGGGGAGCAAACGGG
Molecule: ribosomal RNA, 253 nt
Filed under: uncultured bacterium
Lineage: Bacteria
Description: partial 16S ribosomal RNA
Rfam family: Bacterial small subunit ribosomal RNA
Source: RNAcentral